This 2346-nucleotide long non-coding RNA is filed under the name Gossypium barbadense (sea-island cotton). RNAcentral's name for it is "long non-coding RNA (GBAR_LNC022847)". Lineage: Eukaryota; Viridiplantae; Streptophyta; Magnoliopsida; Malvales; Malvaceae. The record is from RNAcentral.
GGGUAGUCCUAUACAUGCCAUAUCCAGAGUUCAACUAAAAGAGUACCAAAAGAGCUUUGAUAGUGUGGAUGACUUCGACUUCGAUGAUCCCGAAUCCGAUAGCUAACGAACAAAAUCUAUAAAACAGAGAGCCAAAGCAACGGGGUAAGCAUUUUAAAGCUUAGUAAGUUUCAAGUAAUGAAAUCGGCUUUGACUAAAGUAUUACAUUCACAUAGCUAAAUGAAUCACUUUAUUAAUUCACAUUCUCAUAAUCAUACUUACUUCACACUUCAUCAACAUAUACACACACAAGGUAUCAACCUAUCUAAAAGCCGAAAGUUCGUUAGUCGAUUGAACGAAUACUAUUUAAAACGAAUCGACUUUUCCGAAGCACAUGCAAACAUACCUUAUCGUUUGGGUUUGUCGAGCGUAUUAAUUGAAUUUAUUACAGCACAAAACGCUCACAUUCAAACCCAAGUUUCUUCGGAAUUUAGCCGGAUAUAACCACAAGCACAAUUGCCUUCGGGUCUUAACCCGGGUAUAGCAACUCGCACGAAUGCCUUCGGGUCUUAGCCCGGAUAAAUCAACUUGCACAAUUGCCUUCGGGUCUUAGCCCGGAUAUAUCAACUCGCACAAAUGCCUUCGGGUCUUAGCCCGGAUAUAUGUCAACUCGCACAAAUGCCUUCGGGUCUUAGCUCGGAUAUAUCAACUCGCACAAAUGCCUUCGGGUCUUAGCCCAGAUAUAUCAACUUGCACAAAUGCGUUCGGGUCUUAGCCCGGAUGUAUUCAAAUGCUCAUGCACACAUAUAUCAAUAAUCAUAACACAUCCAUAUCUUAUUUUCGUUACUAAGGCUCAAACACAAAACAUUUAUUAAAUCUUUCCAAUUUCGGCUCAAUAGCCACACACAAAGAGCAUGAUUUUGAUUGGCUUUAUAACAUAGUCUCUAUGCACAUUCGACUAUCCGUCAUAGUAUGACUAAUCAUUUCAAUAUAAUUCAAGUAGGGUCAUUACUCGAAGACUUACCUUGGAUGUUGUCGAACGACUUCAAUGGCUAUUCAAUUACUUUUUCCUUCCCUUUAUCGGAUUUAGUUCCCCUUUACUCUUGAGCUUAAGUUCAACAAAUUUUAAAAUAGUCAUUAAUCGACUAUUCAAGUAUUACUUUCAGAAUAAUAUAUAUAUUGAUUCGACUUUCACACACAUAGAUUAUAGUAAGCUUUAUAAAAAUCAAUAAAUAAUUCAUUAGCAAAUUUUCAUUAAUGUUUACAACAAAAUCACAUAUUCACUACGAGCUGUUUUCCUGAGCAGUAGUCACUAAAUUAUUUAUAACUGGAGCUAAAAAACUCCAAAUCACUUGCUGUUAAUUUUCCCUGAAUAUAGACUCGUAUAUCUUCCAUCCAUAAAAUUUUCUGAAUUUUAGGCUUGGCCAAUCAAUACCAGAUUUUUCUUAAAGUUUCCCCUGUUUCACUGUUUGACUAAUCUGACCACUCUUCACUACGAAUCAAAUUUCUCAUUUUACAGAAUUCAAAAUGUGUUGUAUUUGAUUUCAUUUGAAACUAGACUCAUUAAGGAGUUUAAGCAUAUAAAUUUUAUCUUAUAAUCAUUUUUUUACAAUUUAUAAUGAUUUUCUAAAAACAGAACAGGGAAUCUAGUAGUCAUUUUGACUCAGCCCCACAAUACUUCAAAUAUCUGAAGAUCGGUAACUCUUUUGUUUUUAUAGUUUCUUUUGUAAGAAAAUAGACUCUUCAAGCUUUAAUGACAUAAUUUACUCAGCUUCUAAUUCAACUCCUACAAAUUAUGGCGAUUUUCCAAAAUAACCUUACUGCUGCUGUCCCCAAGCCGAUUAUUACCAAAUCAUAUGCUAACAUUUGCAUUUCACCUUAGUAGCUAGCUUAGCAAACCUUAAUUUAACAUAUAAUUGUUCAUAACACAAUUAAAGCAUCCUCUCCAUUCCAUCAAUUCAAAACACAUGCAUUGCCCAAUAGUAUCCAAAAUCAUAUUCGGCCUUAGUACACAUCUUGUUAGCCGAUUUUUCUCCAUUUAGCAACUAAUGCACAUAUGUGCUCAUUUGUUAGACUCUACUUCACCUAACUACCAUUUUCUUUUUCAUCCAAAUAACAUGAACAACAACCAUUUCUUGAACAUUUUCUCUUCAACAAUUCUUCAUAAAACAUAAAGACUAUAACCCAAUCUCAUCCUUUAAUAACUAAAACCGAAUGCUCAAGACACCACACCAUUUCAAAUUUUGGUCAUGGGUUAAGCAAGGAACUUGAUGACUAACAAAAAAAAAAUGCUAAAAAUCCAAGAAUCAUCCUUGAACUUACCUUGAUUUAGCUAACCACCAUAGCUGAAUUUUUCAAAGCUUUUCU